UGGUCAAGUUAUUAAGAGUGCAGGGCGGAUGCCUUGGCACUAGGAGCCGAUGAAGGACGUGAUAAGCUGCGAUAAGCUUCGGGGAGUUGCACGUAAACUUUGAUCCGAAGAUUUCCGAAUGAGGAAACUCACUUAGAGUAAUGUCUAAGUAUCAUUAAGUGAAUACAUAGCUUAAUGAGGGGAACUCAGGGAACUGAAACAUCUAAGUACCUGAAGGAAGAGGAAGAAAUUCGAUUCCGUAAGUAGCGGCGAGCGAACGCGGAUUAGCCCAAACCAAUAAAGUUUUCUUUAUUGGGGUUGCGGACAUAUCAUAACGAAGAGGUAUCGUAAUUGAAGAGGUUUGGA
RNAcentral lists this ribosomal RNA (345 nucleotides) under Clostridioides difficile. RNAcentral's name for it is "partial 23S ribosomal RNA". It matches the Rfam family "Bacterial large subunit ribosomal RNA", at positions 1 to 347 of the family's 2925-position model. Lineage: Bacteria; Bacillati; Bacillota; Clostridia; Peptostreptococcales; Peptostreptococcaceae. The record is from RNAcentral.